AUAAAAUAUCAGAGUCCAUCACAUGCAGUAAGUGUAAGUGUUUUGUGGAUGUUUUGUGAAACUUCAUUGUCAUGACCUAUGUCUUACAGUGGGUGGUCAUCAAAAUGUGUGAAAGCCACUAGUUUAAGCUGAUUCUGCAUCUUUACUGAUGGAACAAAUGGAUUCCAGAGAAGCUAAGGAAAUUACUCACAUUCGCACAGCAGCUUGAAAAACACUGGAUUAAAACCAGACUUCUGACUAUUCUUGUUUUUAGGUUUCCUUUUGGGGAGUAUUACGUCGCAUAAAACAGGAAACUCUUUGGAAAAGCAGCCCAGAAAUUGUUUUGGGAAGAUAUAUUAAAUUAAAGUACAAGUUGGAUUGAGACAUAGAGACACUGAAGAAAGAACAGAUGCGUGGCUACUGGAAUGUAACUGAUAAAUAAUAUCUAAGUUGUCAGUGACAAUGACAAUGGAAGGCAAAGAAACCCACAGGACCAUUUAGAUCUGUGG
This 488-nucleotide long non-coding RNA is filed under the name Homo sapiens (human). Its description in RNAcentral is "HSALNT0130249". Lineage: Eukaryota; Metazoa; Chordata; Mammalia; Primates; Hominidae. The record is from RNAcentral.